Morchella snyderi is the source of this 83-nucleotide non-coding RNA. The record is from the annotation of a GenBank genome assembly. Lineage: Eukaryota; Fungi; Ascomycota; Pezizomycetes; Pezizales; Morchellaceae.
GGUCGCAUGGCCCAAUGGAAAGGCGCUUGACUACGAUCACCAUCGAUAUCAAGAGAUCCCAGGUUUGACCCCUGGUGCGAUCA